AUCCUGCUUCAGAUGAAACGCUGGCGGAAUGCUUUACACAUGCAAGUCGAGCGGCAGCGCGGGGCAACCUGGCGGCGAGCGGCGAACGGGUGAGUAAUACAUCGGAACGUACCCAGUUGUGGGGGAUAGCCCGGCGAAAGCCGGAUUAAUACCGCAUACGACCUGAGGGUGAAAGUGGGGGAUCGCAAGACCUCACGCAGUUGGAGCGGCCGAUGGCGGAUUAGCUAGUUGGUAGGGUAAAGGCCUACCAAGGCGACGAUCCGUAGCGGGUCUGAGAGGACGACCCGCCACACUGGAACUGAGACACGGUCCAGACUCCUACGGGAGGCAGCAGUGGGGAAUUUUGGACAAUGGGGGCAACCCUGAUCCAGCCAUUCCGCGUGAGUGAAGAAGGCCUUCGGGUUGUAAAGCUCUUUCGGCAGGAACGAAACGGUGGGCUCUAACAUAGCCUGCUAAUGACGGUACCUGAAGAAGAAGCACCGGCUAACUACGUGCCAGCAGCCGCGGUAAUACGUAGGGUGCGAGCGUUAAUCGGAAUUACUGGGCGUAAAGCGUGCGCAGGCGGUCCUAUAAGACAGAUGUGAAAUCCCCGGGCUUAACCUGGGAACUGCGUUUGUGACUGUAGAACUAGAGUGUGGCAGAGGGGGGUGGAAUUCCACGUGUAGCAGUGAAAUGCGUAGAGAUGUGGAGGAACACCGAUGGCGAAGGCAGCCCCCUGGGUCAACACUGACGCUCAUGCACGAAAGCGUGGGGAGCAAACAGGAUUAGAUACCCUGGUAGUCCACGCCCUAAACGAUGCGAACUAGGUGUUGGGGGAGGAGACUUCCUUAGUACCGCAGCUAACGCGUGAAGUUCGCCGCCUGGGGAGUACGG
RNAcentral lists this ribosomal RNA (873 nucleotides) under uncultured bacterium. Its description in RNAcentral is "bacterial SSU rRNA". It matches the Rfam family "Bacterial small subunit ribosomal RNA", at positions 16 to 885 of the family's 1533-position model. The record is from RNAcentral.